Molecule: unclassified non-coding RNA, 266 nt
Filed under: Hevea brasiliensis (rubber tree)
Lineage: Eukaryota; Viridiplantae; Streptophyta; Magnoliopsida; Malpighiales; Euphorbiaceae
Source: RNAcentral
AAGAUCAUUUCAAGCUCUUGAAGGUGUAUGCUUGGAAUUUAAUUGAUUUAAUACUACCAUUGUCAAGCAGCGAUUAAGCUAGUAUACUAAUGUAGCUGUCCCAAAAUAAACAAGAAUUGCUGAUGGAGCUUUUACAUGGGGAGCUGAAGACAAAGAUAAUUAGAGUAAAUAAAUAUUUAAGCUGAUUAUGAAACCUAUCCAUAAUUAAAAUAAGUGUAAUUCUAGUUCUUGAUCAGGUUGCGUUCAGCUUUAUUUACAACUAGAGU